Molecule: ribosomal RNA, 348 nt
Filed under: uncultured bacterium
Lineage: Bacteria
Description: partial 16S ribosomal RNA
Rfam family: Bacterial small subunit ribosomal RNA
Source: RNAcentral
CCUACGGGUGGCUGCAGUGAGGAAUAUUGGUCAAUGGGCGAGAGCCUGAACCAGCCAAGUCGCGUGAGGGAAGAAGGUCCUACGGAUUGUAAACCUCUUUUGUCAGGGAGCAAGGAGCGCCACGAGUGGUGCGGCGAGAGUACCUGAAGAAAAAGCAUCGGCUAACUCCGUGCCCGCAGCCGCGGUAAUACGGAGGAUGUGAGCGUUAUUCGGAUUUAGUGGUUUUAAAGGGUUCGCAUGGGGAAGAGGCAAGUCGGCGGUAAAAUUGCGGGGCUCAACCUCACCGAGCCGUUGAAACUGCUCGUCGAGAGUGGGCGAGAAGUAUGCGGAAUGCGUGGUGUAGCGGGG